Molecule: ribosomal RNA, 254 nt
Filed under: uncultured bacterium
Lineage: Bacteria
Description: partial 16S ribosomal RNA
Rfam family: Bacterial small subunit ribosomal RNA
Source: RNAcentral
UACGAAGGGGGCUAGCGUUGCUCGGAAUUACUGGGCGUAAAGCGCACGUAGGCGGCUUUCUAAGUCGGGGGUGAAAUCCUGGAGCUCAACUCCAGAACUGCCUUCGAUACUGGAGAGCUUGAGUCCGGGAGAGGUGAGUGGAACUGCGAGUGUAGAGGUGAAAUUCGUAGAUAUUCGCAAGAACACCAGUGGCGAAGGCGGCUCACUGGCCCGGUACUGACGCUGAGGUGCGAAAGCAUGGGGAGCAAACAGGG